This 440-nucleotide ribosomal RNA is filed under the name Leptotrichia sp. oral taxon 417. RNAcentral's name for it is "bacterial SSU rRNA". It matches the Rfam family "Bacterial small subunit ribosomal RNA", at positions 28 to 484 of the family's 1533-position model. The record is from RNAcentral. Lineage: Bacteria; Fusobacteriati; Fusobacteriota; Fusobacteriia; Fusobacteriales; Leptotrichiaceae.
GAUGAACGCUGACAGAAUGCUUAACACAUGCAAGUCUUUGGCGAAGCUGUGCUUGCACAGCCUAGCCAAGGCGGACGGGUGAGUAACGCGUAAGGAACUUGCCCUGCAGUCAGGGAUAACAGACGGAAACGACUGAUAAGACCUGGUAAAGUCAGGCGGACUCAUGUCCAGCCUGAUGAAAAGAGAUGCUGCAGGAGAGCCUUGCGUCCUAUUAGCUUGUUGGUGGGGUAACGGCCCACCAAGGCGAUGAUAGGUAGCCGGCCUGAGAGGGUGGACGGCCACAAGGGGACUGAGAUACGGCCCUUACUCCUACGGGAGGCAGCAGUGGGGAAUAUUGGGCAAUGGGGGCAACCCUGAUCCAGCAAUUCUGUGUGCACGAUGAAGGUUUUCGGAUUGUAAAGUGCUUUCAGCAGGGAAGAAAAAAAUGACGGUACCUGCAG